Molecule: non-coding RNA, 1479 nt
Organism: Anolis sagrei ordinatus
Lineage: Eukaryota; Metazoa; Chordata; Lepidosauria; Squamata; Anolidae
Source: the annotation of a RefSeq genome assembly
GCCACCACCCUCCAACAGUCCCUUUUGGAAGAACUGAGAUUUUGCUGCAAGAAAAGGAGCAAAAGAGGUGUUGGAAGACGAUCUCAGUCUAAUCUCUACUCAAGUUCACCUCGUAACUUCCUGCUGAGCUCAUCCAAUCGGAAGAUAUCUGUUAAAACACUGUGUGGGCAGCAUAUCCUGUCUCUCUUCUUCUUUUCCUCCCACCCACAACACCUGCAACCUUGUUGCACACUCCUCACAGGAAAUCAAGCAACUUCUGGUUCCUUUAGCAUUGGCGUAACCAGCAUCAAAAUCAGAUGGCUGCAGUAUCCAUACAGUCCUGCCGUGGAACAUGUGAAUUUCACCCCUUCUUCUCCCUCAUUGUCUUGUGGUCUUUAGUGGGCAGGGUACCUGCUAUGACCGUGAUUCAGGAACCACCAUUUGCCAGUUUCUCUCAAGGGAAGGAGCUUCAGUUCAACUGCUCACACUCAGAGAGCGGAAGCUACCAUUUUUUCUGGUAUCGUCAACAGCCUGGGAAGAUAGAGCUCCAAGUCCUUGGGAAUCUUUAUUUUUAUAAUGACAAGUUAACAGAGAUUGACACCAUUCUGGAGGGCAAGCUGACUGGGAAAUGGCUGGAUGACAGCAAGAAAAAGAUGAGCCUGCACUUUAAAGAUCUGCAGCCUGGUGAUGUGGGGCUGUAUAUGUGUGCUGUAAGGGACACAGUGAGAAAGGCAGGAACUGGGGCUGAUGCAGAAACUGAGCACCAGAAAGGCAUGCCCAAAAAAGCUCAAGAGCAGUUGAGAAGACUGCCUAAAGGUGCAUUAGAACUAUCCAUGCCCACAUGCAAGGUACUUUAAAACCAUUAUCUCCCAUAUACUAAACAGCUCAGAUAAAAAUGGCUUCGUUCUCAUAUUGGUAGCACUCUGCAACUGCUGAUUAUCUCUGACCUCAUAUCUUUUAGAGCUGUCCAAUGGCCUUUACACACCAGAUGCAUGCAUAUACAUCACUAGAUUAAGCAUCUCUUAGUAACUCACACUGCAAUGAACCACCUCAAAAGAAUUAUGGUGUGGGUCUUGGGAAGGCAUCUGGAUCUUUAUUCUGGGAGAUUUGACCUGAAAUACCCCAUUCAGAUUUUCAGUCUAUCAGAAGAUAUUGAAGUCCCCAAGCAGUGGACAGGUUUUUGUGAACUCCUACAAAUAGUCAUAACUCCCCCCACUACAGUCAGAAGAUGUAGGACCACAAACUAGAGCACUUUGUCUUCAAGGCUUGAAUUUCACCUCUGUUAGGGAGGGAUUCAUGAGGCAAGCUAUUUUUAAGAUUUAGGAAGCAAUAUCUGCAAAAUAACAAAAUGAACUUCUCAUAGCAUUAUUGUAAAGAUUUCUCCUAGAGAAUACAAAAGGCUUGGUCUGAGCACUUGAAAAUCCUAUACAAAUAUGGACUAUUAAUAUUUUUAUUUAUAUACCAAGUUUCUGCACAUGCACAGGAUUCCACAGGUUGCUG